Molecule: long non-coding RNA, 4382 nt
Organism: Gallus gallus (chicken)
Lineage: Eukaryota; Metazoa; Chordata; Aves; Galliformes; Phasianidae
Source: Ensembl
CAUAAACAAAAACAUUAUUUUUAGUGUGUGCCAUUAAGAUACCAUAAUCCUUUAGUUUAUGCUGACAGUUUUUUUCUAAGAUAUUUUGCCUUGUUCAGAGCUUCAGAAUCACCUUUGUAUGAAAACUUUGCAUAGUUACCUAGCAGCAGGGUUUUCUUUUCAUUUUGCAUCUGUGCUUCGUAUAUUGACUGAACUCCACCCAUUUCCACAAUGAAGUGUAGGUCACUGCUUUCUUCUUUUACUUAAGCAGCUGUCCUCCUGGCAGUCAUUGUGGUGAACUUUUUCCUGGUUUAGUUCAGUCCCUGUAGAAGACUGAGCCAAGAACUUUGUCAUAUAGACCCAUUAGUAAUCAUCUGUUUCUCAGGCUAAUGGACUCGGUUUCUGUUAUGUCCUUUGACUGGAAACUCCCAGAGCCACGCCUGGAGGUUGAGCUCCAUGUAACAUCUGUUCUGGGAUGGUGCUGGACUGGCUUGGCUUGCUCAGCUCUAAGCCAUCCCAGAGUUACUCUAGUACUGGUCCCUGGAUUUUUAAACCUGAGGAAGUCCCAUAGAUCAAAAACUGAUUUAUUGGAAAAUCAAAUAGAUCCAUUGGGAAAAAAAAAAAAAAAAUUGGACUGGAUUGAAAUGCAGCAUGAAUCAUAAGAGAAGUUUAGAAGCACAUGAAGAUGAAUGGGUCCCCAGUGACUCAACAGAGAACAUCUGGAGCAGGUCACAUUUUGAAGCUUUUCUGUGUAAUUAUUAGAGACUGAAAACUUCUUUAAAAACAAAAGUCCAGAUGAUUCUGUGUUCCUAAGACUCUACAAGCAAGAACAUCAGCAUCCUUGUUGCCCCAGAAAUGAAGAAAAGUUUUCAAGUACAUCUAAAUAUUAUCUAACACCUGAGAGGAUGUCAAGGAGACGAAGUCAAUCUCAUCACAGUGGAAAGUCAAGAGAUUAUGGACAUGUGUUGAAACAAGAAAUUGUCAAAUGGGAUGUGAGAAAAAGCUUUUUCACCACAAGGACAGUGGAACAGAGGAAGAGGCUGCCCAGUGAAGAUUUCUCUCCAUGAGGCAUGAAAUGUGGGCUGCCCCCAGGUACGUACUUCAGCAGACAGCAGCUACUGCUAAAUAUGGGCACCCAGCUCUGCUGCCUGCCACCCUUCCUCUUCAGCAUGAUGAAUGCAGAACUGAUGUCUGAACAAUGGCUUAUCUUCAAAGUGGGGAUGGUUGCCCUCCCACACCAUCCCCUGCAUUGUUUAUAGCUGAUUGUUUAUAGUCCUGUGGUUAAAGCGUUUCCUGGGAGAUGUGGUUUUGCUUGCCUGCAAGACAGGAGCAUAUUACACUUACUUCAGCUUCCUAAUUGCCACUCAUCUAUUGUGUGAAAAAGGGAGGAAGAGAAUAAAUCCCAAUGGACUCAUAAAGAAAGGCAGCCACGUCUACAGAGGCCCUGAGAGUGUCUCCUGAGCAGCUUUCAGGGGACUGAGACUGACGUACUGCCGAGAAGGUGUUCCUGCCACUGAGAGCUCUUGGGAUGCUGUAGUGGUGCCUCCUCUGGACUGCUCAGGCACUUAAGGUCACAGUACGACAUCCACGGAGUUAAGGCAGAUGAGGUAACACUAGGUCAGAUGAGCUCAAGAUGCAGUUUUGACCCUUGGUAUUCAGUUCCUGGUACUUCAGACAUUUGUGAUUUUUUGCAUCUAGCCUCUUGAUAUAAUUGCCAUCUGAAGCAGGGAAGUAUUGGGGAGGGAAGUGCUGGAAAACAUUGGAAAUGCUGGGAAAUGUUGGAAAGAGAAGUGGAUGCACAUUAAUACCUGAAGGUGUGUGGGUCAGUCUCCUGCUGACUUUAGGACUCUUGGAUGUCUCAGCUUAUUUACAUUGUGCUUGUGUACUCCUAAUCUUCUUCUAGUGUGACUCUACAUGAGAGGUUCAGUAAUGCAAAGAGGGAAAGGUUUGGGGCAUCAUGCUGCCUUGGUGUUGCAACAAGACAUUUUUACCCCUCCUGAAAACCAAUGCAUAAUAUCAGGUCAAGGAGCCUGCCAGCUUUGCAUUCCACCCCCUUUGGUGAAUUUGUGAAUUGCUGGUCUAAACCUUUGUUCAUCAUCUAAUUUGUGGAACUGCAAAAAAGGCAAACUUCACACAGAUGCAGGCUUUCCAGACUUCCCUUAUUAUAAUAUGGGAUUUCCUGUACUGUCCAUUCAAACACUAUGUCCUUUAUAAAAAGCACACAGGAGGUAAUUUUUUCCAUAUUUUUCUUGUUUGGCUUCUAUCUGUUCUUCCCAGGCUGCGGCCCUGAGAACAUAAGUGUUUAGAGUGCAGGAGAGAGGGCUCCAGCAUUCCUCUUUUAAUAUUUAGUAUUUUAAAUGUUGCAUCAUUAUGCAUCCACCUUAAAAGAUUUUACCCCAGUAAAUUUCAGUUGAACUUCACUAAUAGACCAAAAGAAAAAAAAAAAAAAAAAAAAGAGGGUUUCUGUAAUCAGUGAAACUUUCCAUGAACAUUACAUAAGUUAAUAUUUUCUUACUCCUGCCUGAUUCAUUGUAGUUUUUAUUUUUCUUUUUAACUCUCCUGCAAUAUAAAAGCUUUUCUGAGGGGCAGAAAGACGCAGGUUCAUUCCUGUUCUAUGAUGUUGCAUUGAAGUAGGACCUGAGUGAUUCUUUUGCUCUACUGGCAUAUGUAUUCUUUGGUCCAUGGUGAGGUACAUGCCAUGAACUCGAGGUCCAUUACAUUUUAGUGCUUAUUAUCUUCCUUAAGAAGCUAUUAAAAUCCAGUGUAUUAAGUAAACUGGGACUGAAUGGAGUGAACAGGAACAUCUGCAUGUCUUAUGUUAUGACUCCCCUAGCAGUUAUCUACUGUGCUAUAUAGCUUAGAAAAUUCUCCCAAGCAUAUAGAUGGUGGAGAUCCAACAAGCUGGAACUGCUGGCUACAGCUGAAGUUUCAACAACUCAUUCUAUCUACAGCUGCCUUCAUCUGUUGCUGGCUUUAGGGAAGAAUACCAAGCAUCUUUAGAUUUCACAUGCUGAAGGAGGGACAGAAUUCCAAAGGAUACGAAACCAGAAAGCGACCAGAAAAAUAAAAUACAGAAAUAAAUUAUUAAAAAACAAACAAACAAACAAAAAAAGAAUAAAAAAAAAGAAGAGGAAAUAUAAAUUCUAUGAGAAGACUGCAGAUGCAAAGUUUUAGAAUAGAAAAGUCAGUGAAGCCUUUUAAGUCUGUGGUGGGAUUCAUUGCAUGAAACACUAUUUACUUUUGCAGAGUGAUCUUGAGUUCAGCCACCAUACUACAGUCUACCACUGUCAGAGAUAGAUUUAAACAUUUAUGCUAUUUGAGAAAAUGUGCUAACUUCAUACAGACAGAACUAUUGUGAUAGUGCUGAUCAACAAACCACAAAUAUGUAUUUAAAGCCAAAUUGUGCUCUCAUUUUUCCUCAGAACUUUAAAUAUUGUCUUUAGUUUUUGUGAAAAUACCUUACCUCAUGAAAGGAAAUAACUCACAAGUUUCUCAACCAGAAUGACAGCUGUCAAUUUGCUCAGUUUGGUGUUACUUUGUUGAUAGAUGUAUUAGAUCAGAGAGGGAGUCUCUAACUGUGCAGUCCUGUUUUAUUUGUAAAACAAAGCACAGUACUGAAAGGUAUUAGAGAGAGGAUUUUCAGGUUAAAUUGUACAUCAGUAUCAUUUGGCUGUCACUUCAGCUACUACAACGCUCAUCCUACUCCUUUCACUGCACAAGAUUAGUCCAGGGAAUUGUAACCAUUUUCCCUCUGUUUCUUCAUUCUCCUCUGAUAAACUUCAUGUGAAUAAUAUUAAAUUAGCUUUAACAUUAAGUACUAACUGAUAAAUGAAGGCUGAAUUAGUUGGCUUUGAAUGAAAACCUUUGGGGUUUCAUCAGUCAGAAAAAUACAUGUCUUAUAUUGAUUUGUAAGACAAGGUGAUGCGUAUAUUCCAUUGCAUCUUUACUGGCAACGAGUUUUACUGCUCCAUUCAGGACUCAUAUAUCUGUGUAUGUUGGGGAUGGGGAUGGCCAUGGAGUAAAUCUUUGUCUUCUUCUCUAUUUCCAGUCGCAUCUCUAAACAUAUCAGGUCCAGGGGAUUGAAGUUUCCCUUCUCUGUUAAAAGCACCAUCAAAAUUAGAAACUAUUAGUAAUAUUACUAUAACUGUGAAGAUCUGAUGAAAUAAAAUAUCUAUUCACACAAAUCCUGUUUCAUGAUUAACUACAUUCUCUGCAAGUGGAUUUUCAUUGCUAGAGAAAGUGAGAGUUGGCAACACGCUAGAGAAAUUGGAAUUUAUAUAAUUACCAGGAUUUAUUCAAGGGGUUGUGUUAUUGUUUGUGAUAAAUAUAUCUGCAUUCAGACCAUGAAUUUAUAGCGCAUGUUUCAUAAGCAAAAAACAUUUAUACAUAGCACAGAUCUCUCC